AUUGAACGCUGGCGGCAUGCCUUACACAUGCAAGUCGAACGGUAACAGGUCUUCGGAUGCUGACGAGUGGCGAACGGGUGAGUAAUACAUCGGAACGUGCCUAGUAGUGGGGGAUAACUACUCGAAAGAGUGGCUAAUACCGCAUGAGAUUUACGGAUGAAAGCAGGGGAUCGCAAGACCUUGUGCUACUAGAGCGGCCGAUGGCAGAUUAGGUAGUAGGUGGGAUAAAAGCUUACCAAGCCGACGAUCUGUAGCUGGUCUGAGAGGACGAUCAGCCACACGGCGACUGAGACACGGCCCAGACGCCUACGGGAGGCAGCAGGGGGGAAGUUAGGACAAUGGGCGAAAGCCUGAUCCAGCAAUGCCGCGUGCAGGAUGAAGGCCUUCGGGUUGUAAACUGCUUUUGUACGGAACGAAAAGCCCCGGGUUAAUACCCUGGGGUCAUGACGGUACCGUAAGAAUAAGCACCGGCUAACUACGUGCCAGCCGCCGCAGUAA
Molecule: ribosomal RNA, 498 nt
Filed under: uncultured bacterium
Lineage: Bacteria
Description: partial 16S ribosomal RNA
Rfam family: Bacterial small subunit ribosomal RNA
Source: RNAcentral